UCCUAUUCUAGUUUAUAACAAAAUAUUAACUUUGGAAGUUAAAGAAUAAAAAGAUUUAGAAGAGGA
RNAcentral lists this transfer RNA (66 nucleotides) under Siphonodentalium lobatum. RNAcentral's name for it is "tRNA-Pro". The record is from RNAcentral. Lineage: Eukaryota; Metazoa; Mollusca; Scaphopoda; Gadilida; Siphonodentaliidae.